AAAAAAGGCAAACUUAGAUUUCCGUGCUAACGUUUGACUGUCCGUCUUAUAUAAAAUUUUUCUAUAAUUAGUAUUUUCAUUGUUGUUGGAUGAUAAAAUAUGAUUAAUACUUUAAGUGACUUUUCUUUUUAAUUUUUUUUCAUAAUUUUUUUAAAUAAGAUGGACGGUCAAAUGUUGGACACGGAAAACAGAGUUUGUCCUUUUU
This is a non-coding RNA of Oryza barthii, 205 nucleotides long. Lineage: Eukaryota; Viridiplantae; Streptophyta; Magnoliopsida; Poales; Poaceae. The record is from Rfam.